Scleropages formosus (Asian bonytongue) is the source of this 405-nucleotide long non-coding RNA. RefSeq lists it as uncharacterized. The transcript has 8 exons. NCBI's taxonomy places the organism in Eukaryota, Metazoa, Chordata, Actinopteri, Osteoglossiformes, Osteoglossidae. The record is from RefSeq and is a predicted model, not a curated record.
GAGCUCAAGGCAGUUUGCUGACUCCACUGAGACACCAUCAUGCUGACAGUCAUUUUCUUUGCUCUGCUCCUCGCUGGGAUAGACGACGGGAUAGCUGAAGAAGGAUCGGGGGAAAUCGUCAUUGAUCCCCCAGAGAUGGGGAAGACCACCUACUCCACAAAUCCUCCAGAGACUCCUCCUCCAACAUACAAGAUCAUCUAUGACACCUUCGAAGACCUGUAUGGAGAUGGCACCGGUGAAACCGUCGCCCCCACCCAGUAGCUCCUCCUCGCACUCCACACAGCAGGAGAAGAGGACACAGCCCCUGCUAGACUGAGAGACAACACCCUGGCCACUUCCCGCACUGUUACCCUGCUGGACCCCUUCCGCCUUGCUUCCCUUACAAUAAAAUCUGCAUGAGCUCAA